RNAcentral lists this ribosomal RNA (330 nucleotides) under uncultured bacterium. RNAcentral describes it as "bacterial SSU rRNA". It matches the Rfam family "Bacterial small subunit ribosomal RNA", at positions 568 to 898 of the family's 1533-position model. The record is from RNAcentral.
UCCGUAGGCGGUGCGGCAAGUCGGGAGUGAAAUCUCUGGGCUUAACUCAGAGGCCGCUUCCGAAACUGCCGUGCUGGAGUGUGGGAGAGGCGAGUGGAAUUGCAGGUGUAGCGGUGAAAUGCGUAGAUAUCUGCAGGAACACCCGUGGCGAAGGCGGCUCGCUGGACCACAACUGACGCUGAGGGACGAAAGCUAGGGGAGCAAACAGGAUUAGAUACCCUGGUAGUCCUAGCCCUAAACGAUCAGGACUUGGCGUGGCCCGCGUCCGCGGGUCGUGCCGAAGCUAACGCGAUAAGUCCUGCGCCUGGGGAGUACGGUCGCAAGACUGAA